UUCUGUUUCUUUAAGUCAUUGGUGAAGUGAAGUUGCUUUUGUUUGGGUUAUGCAUUUCCAAACUCCUUUUUUGUGUUUGUGGUUUUAAGAUUGUCCUGUUUCUGAACUUCUAUCUAUCACUCAACCUGAUUGUUUCUUGCUCUUAUGAUGCCAAUUUUGAAAGUUGAAGACUAGCUGAAGGCAAUUUUGUGAAUGAAAGUUUUCUUCAACUACAUGGCCAAUGCUUAAUCUCAAUAUAUCUUGUUUGCCAUUUGAAUUCCAUCAAAACAAGGAUCUUCUUUUGAAGGUUGAUGACUGGUUCGGGUUGUGUACGCAUCAAUCAAUCAUGGAUGUUGUUUUUGGGUUUAGUUUUUCUUAACAAGAAAAUCAGUUGUUGGUUCCUUACUGUUAUAUGGACAAUCAAACAUUCAGGGUCAGCUUAGGUGUUGGCAUAUGUUCUUGUCUGGUAGUGAUUGCUCUCUGUCUUGUAUAAUUGCAUAUAUGUUGAUAUUAUGUGGACAAAUUUUGAAGGGUUUUCUUUGGCCAUAUAUUUGAUGUUCUGUUUGUUCUGGUUCCCUGUAUGCCUUACUUUUCAAUUUAUAUGUUUCCUAAGAAAAUUCAACAAUAAAACUUUUCUUUUAAAGACUUCUCUGCUAGCCUGAACAUAGAACUCUAGAAAUUGUCCAGAUGAUGGAGUGAUAUUUGGGAAUUAAGUGCAUGUAUGGAAUUUGGGAAAUCUACCAGUUAAGGGCCUUUUAAUUUCAAUCUGUGGCAGAGAUGGGUGGAGUGAUAAUUUGCUUAAAAGGAAAUGUAGAGCAGGAGGGAGAUGAAAAUAUUUGAGUCUUUAUUCAUUCACUGCUGUGCAAAACCAGAGAGAAGAUCAUGUAACAAUUUGGAGCCAGGUUGGAGAACACAGCUGAAAUUUUGACAUCAUAGCUAUAACAGAAAGCUGCAAAUGCCAUCUCAUGAGGCCAGACCAAAUCAAUCAUAGCAAAAACUGUUAGUGGGCAUGUGUUGUUUAGGACCUGUUGUUGUUGGUAGGUGUGUGUGGUGCCCCCACCUACCAAUUCAACACAAGAGGCUCCAGUUUCAAACUUUCAACUGCUGUGACAAAAAGUUGAAGGGCUCUCAAGUUGUCCCUGAACAAAAGCAAAGCAUGGAAGCAAAAUAUCAAAACAAGGGAUUAUUGGUUGGUUGGUGGAAACUAAAUACUGAUGGCUGCAGGAAAGGUGAGGAAGGGAUUAUUGGUGCUGGUGGUAUUAUCAGAAAUGCAAUGGGGACUGGGUUGGUGGAUUCUCUGCUAAUAUUGGGAGGGGGUCUGUUUUACAAGCUAAGUUAUGGGCCAUCCUCUAUGGAUUGCGGCUUGCUAACCAAUCGAAUUAUUUUCCCCUUAUUGUGGAGUCUGAUUCCUGUUUGGCGGUGGACCUCGUGAAUGCGCCUAGUUGUGACCCUCU
Molecule: long non-coding RNA, 1433 nt
Organism: Prunus avium (sweet cherry)
Lineage: Eukaryota; Viridiplantae; Streptophyta; Magnoliopsida; Rosales; Rosaceae
Source: RefSeq, a predicted model, not a curated record